UACGCACGCUGGCGGCGUGCUUAACACAUGCAAGUCGAACGGAAAGGCCCCUUUGGGGGUACUCGAGUGGCGAACGGGUGAGUAACACGUGAGUAACCUGCUCUUGAAUUCGGGAUAACUUCAGGAAACUGGGGCUAAUACCGGAUAGGAAUCCUUGCUGCAUGGUGGGGGUUGGAAAGCUUCGGCGGUUUUGGAUGGACUCGCGGCGUAUCAGCUUGUUGGUGGGGUAGUGGCUUACCAAGGCUUUGACGGGUAGCCGGCCUGAGAGGGCGACCGGCCACAUUGGGACUGAGAUACGGCCCAGACUCCUACGGGAGGCAGCAGUGGGGAAUAUUGCACAAUGGGCGGAAGCCUGAUGCAGCAACGCCGCGUGCGGGAUGACGGCCUUCGGGUUGUAAACCGCUUUCAGCAGGGGCGAAGCUUGUGGUGACGGUACCUGCAGAAGAAGCACCGGCUAACUACGUG
Molecule: ribosomal RNA, 465 nt
Filed under: uncultured bacterium
Lineage: Bacteria
Description: partial 16S ribosomal RNA
Rfam family: Bacterial small subunit ribosomal RNA
Source: RNAcentral